GAUGAACGCUGGCGGCGUGCUUAACACAUGCAAGUCGAACGGAAAGGCUCCUGCUUGCCGGGGUACUCGAGUGGCGAACGGGUGAGUAACACGUGGGUGAUCUGCCCUGCACUUCGGGAUAAGCCUGGGAAACUGGGUCUAAUACCGGAUAGGACCACAUUUUGGAUGGCGUGGUGGAAAGUUUUUCGGUGUGGGAUGAGCUCGCGGCCUAUCAGCUUGUUGGUGGGGUAAUGGCCUACCAAGGCGUCGACGGGUAGCCGGCCUGAGAGGGUGUACGGCCACAUUGGGACUGAGAUACGGCCCAGACUCCUACGGGAGGCAGCAGUGGGGAAUAUUGCACAAUGGGCGCAAGCCUGAUGCAGCGACGCCGCGUGGGGGAUGACGGCCUUCGGGUUGUAAACUCCUUUCGCUAGGGACGAAGCGCAAGUGACGGUACCUGGAGAAGAAGCACCGGCUAACUACGUG
This 465-nucleotide ribosomal RNA is filed under the name uncultured bacterium. RNAcentral's name for it is "partial 16S ribosomal RNA". It matches the Rfam family "Bacterial small subunit ribosomal RNA", at positions 28 to 507 of the family's 1533-position model. The record is from RNAcentral.